CGAAAGCCUGACGGAGCAAUACCGCGUGAGGGAGGAAGGCUUUUGGGUUGUAAACCUCUUUUUUCAAGGAAGAAGCAAGUGACGGUACUUGAAGAAUCAGCAUCGGCUAACUCCGUGCCAGCAGCCGCGGUAAUACGGAGGAUGCAAGCGUUAUCCGGAAUCAUUGGGCGUAAAGCGUCCGCAGGUGGCGUAUCAAGUCUGCUGUCAAAGACAGAAGCUCAACUUCUGGCAGGCAGUGGAAACUGGUAAGCUAGAGUACGGUAGGGGUUGAGGGAAUUCCCAGUGUAGCGGUGAAAUGCGUAGAUAUUGGGAAGAACACCAGUGGCGAAGGCGCUCAGCUGGGCCGUAACUGACACUGAGGGACGAAAGCUAGGGGAGCG
Molecule: ribosomal RNA, 380 nt
Filed under: uncultured cyanobacterium
Lineage: Bacteria; Bacillati; Cyanobacteriota
Description: bacterial SSU rRNA
Rfam family: Bacterial small subunit ribosomal RNA
Source: RNAcentral